UUGAACGCUGGCGGCAUGCUUUACACAUGCAAGUCGAACGGUAACAGGCCUUCGGGCGCUGACGAGUGGCGAACGGGUGAGUAAUGCAUCGGAACGUGCCCAGAGGUGGGGGAUAACGCAGCGAAAGCUGUGCUAAUACCGCAUAUUAUCUGAGGAUGAAAGCGGGGGACUAAGCAGCAAUGUUUGGCCUCGCGCCUUUGGAGCGGCCGAUGUCAGAUUAGGUAGUUGGUGGGGUAAAGGCCUACCAAGCCGACGAUCUGUAGCUGGUCUGAGAGGACGACCAGCCACACUGGGACUGAGACACGGCCCAGACUCCUACGGGAGGCAGCAGUGGGGAAUUUUGGACAAUGGGCGCAAGCCUGAUCCAGCAAUGCCGCGUGCAGGAAGAAGGCCUUCGGGUUGUAAACUGCUUUUGUACGGAACGAAAAGGCUCUGGUUAAUACCUGGGGCUCAUGACGGUACCGUAAGAAUAAGCACCGGCUAACUACGUG
This 491-nucleotide ribosomal RNA is filed under the name uncultured bacterium. RNAcentral's name for it is "bacterial SSU rRNA". It matches the Rfam family "Bacterial small subunit ribosomal RNA", at positions 30 to 507 of the family's 1533-position model. The record is from RNAcentral.